AUUGAACGCUGGCGGCAGGCCUAACACAUGCAAGUCGAGCGGAGCGGCGGACGGGUGAGUAAUGCCAAGGAAUCUGCCUGGUAGUGGGGGGUAACGUCCGGAAACGGGCGCUAAUACCGCAUACUAUCAGAUGAGCCUAGGUCGGAUGAGAUAGUUGGUGGGUUAAAGGCCUACAAAGGGGACGAUCCGUAACUGGUCUGAGAGGAUGAUCAGUCAAACUGGAACUGGAACACGGUCCAGACUCCUACGUGAGGCAGCAGUGGGGAAUAUUGGACAAUGGGCGAAAGCCUGAGCCAGCCAUGCCGCGUGGGUGAAGAAGGUCUUCGGAUUGUAAGGCACUUUAAGUUGGGAGGCGUUACCCACAGAAUAAGCACCGGCUAACUUCGUGCCAGCAGCCGCGGUAAUAC
This 407-nucleotide ribosomal RNA is filed under the name uncultured bacterium. RNAcentral's name for it is "partial 16S ribosomal RNA". It matches the Rfam family "Bacterial small subunit ribosomal RNA", at positions 30 to 526 of the family's 1533-position model. The record is from RNAcentral.